UCACCGGAUCGUGAAUGUAUUUGUUUGAUCACCGUUGAAACGAGGAAAAAUUUGGUCGACCAGUUGUAAACUGACACGUGUCCCAUCUCUUAGCGCGGGGGCGUUUUAGCCCAACUAGACGUAGUUCAUUUGUUUUUUUCAACUGUCUCUGUCUAUAGGAACAACAUUUUUCACGAAACUGGGCUUUAGUGUUCCAGUAGGUCUAAGCCGCAUCACGUGCUUGUGUUUUCCAUUUACCAAACAUUUUCAAAUGCUUGUUUCUGAAUUGUACAAUAUGUUUUUUAAGUGUUUAGAAAAGGGUGGAGAACUUGUUCAAUCAAAUGCUUUGUUUUAGAACAGCAGUGUCUGUGUUUCACAGUGAAUCGUCCGGUGUUUCCAGUCCGCCGUGGAACAACUUUUCGUAUUCGCCAUUGUACACUAUACUAUAACACAUGCACCUAUAUAACAAUUGAAUACGAGACCAACGCUCUACCUCUGAGCUAAGAAGGCACAUCCACAUUAAUGUGCACGCUCUACGACUAUAUAAACUAGAGAAGCAGGUCCAAUUUGAAAUGCGCAUUUUCAAGUUUCUUCAUGGACGUGAAAAUAUAGACAAUUCCCAUGACCUUAUCUUCCAAAGACGCUUAACUUUUAAUAAUCGUAACAACACAGCUGACAAUUAAAGGAGGUUUUUACGUUGGACCCUUAAAAACUUUUCGUGUGGCUUCUGAUUUGAUGUUUAUCCUAUAUACACAAUCUUGAUGUU
Daphnia magna is the source of this 745-nucleotide long non-coding RNA. RefSeq lists it as uncharacterized. The record is from RefSeq and is a predicted model, not a curated record. NCBI's taxonomy places the organism in Eukaryota, Metazoa, Arthropoda, Branchiopoda, Diplostraca, Daphniidae. The transcript is spliced from 2 exons.